ACGGGUGAGUAACACGUGAGUAACCUGCCCUUGACUCUGGGAUAAGCCUGGGAAACUGGGUCUAAUACCGGAUAUGACUCCUCAUCGCAUGGUGGGGGGUGGAAAGCUUUUGUGGUUUUGGAUGGACUCGCGGCCUAUCAGCUUGUUGGUGGGGUAAUGGCCUACCAAGGCGACGACGGGUAGCCGGCCUGAGAGGGUGACCGGCCACACUGGGACUGAGACACGGCCCAGACUCCUACGGGAGGCAGCAGUGGGGAAUAUUGCACAAUGGGCGCAAGCCUGAUGCAGCGACGCCGCGUGAGGGAUGACGGCCUUCGGGUUGUAAACCUCUUUCAGUAGGGAAGAAGCGUAAGUGACGGUACCUGCUAAAGAAGCGCCGGCUAACUACGUGCCAGCAGCCGCGGUAAUACGUAGGGCGCAAGCGUUAUCCGGAAUUAUUGGGCGUAAAGAGCUCGUAGGCGGUUUGUCGCGUCUGCUGUGAAAGACCGGGGCUCAACUCCGGUUCUGCAGUGGGUACGGGCAGACUAGAGUGCAGUAGGGGAGACUGGAAUUCCUGGUGUAGCGGUGAAAUGCGCAGA
Molecule: ribosomal RNA, 578 nt
Filed under: Arthrobacter sp. StRD665
Lineage: Bacteria; Bacillati; Actinomycetota; Actinomycetes; Micrococcales; Micrococcaceae
Also listed under: 1 other name
Description: bacterial SSU rRNA
Rfam family: Bacterial small subunit ribosomal RNA
Source: RNAcentral